UCUUUGGAAUCAAUCUCCCUAGGUGUUCUC
This 30-nucleotide non-coding RNA is filed under the name Mus musculus (house mouse). The record is from RNAcentral. Lineage: Eukaryota; Metazoa; Chordata; Mammalia; Rodentia; Muridae.